RNAcentral lists this long non-coding RNA (1458 nucleotides) under Mus pahari (shrew mouse). RNAcentral describes it as "predicted gene 43328 (MGP_PahariEiJ_G0033018.1)". The record is from RNAcentral. Lineage: Eukaryota; Metazoa; Chordata; Mammalia; Rodentia; Muridae.
GUUGAGUGUUUGCCUCCAUGAGCAAGGCCUGAAUUCUAUCCCCAACACCGCAAAAUGAAAGCAAAAUAAGGAAACUUGCCUUCAACACAGUUGGUUUGGCAUGUGUUGGAAUGUUGCCAGUUCAUGCCUGUUGUACUCUUGAAGCCAGUUCUGCCGAGCAGGCAUUCAGGUGAAGGUGCUAAGGACCUUUCCUUUCAUCUCACGCCAGUAGUGAGUGAGUGCCUGCAUUCUUAGCAAAGAACCAGAUUUGUUUUAAAACAUUGGGAUACUUAACAUGGUAAAACUACAUAUAAACACAGCAGAGUUAAAGUAAUCUGCUUUCAUGAAAUAGGAAGUAUUGUAUUUUUUGUCUUUGAUGUUUUUUAUUCUUCCAAAGAUGAAUCUUCAUGGUUAUGACUAUACUCUUUGCCACUUCAAAUCAGGGAUUAGUGGAUUAUUCCUGUCUGUUGUUGCAUUGUUUGCUUUGACCAUAUAGGUGUAUACUUUUAAUCCUAGCACUUAUGAGGUAGAACAAGUGGACCUUUAAAGUUCAAGACCAUCCUUGUCUUCAAAGUGAGUUUUAGGCCAGCCAGGGCAACAUAGUAAGACCCUGCCUUAAACAAAUAUAAAAAAAAAAAAAAAAAAACAACAAAAAAUUCAUGGUGGACAUCAUGGACUUGAUCUUGGGUUACCUGAAGAGAGACACACUUUUACCUGUCCCUGCCUAAAAUGUACAUCAUCAUCAAAUAAAGAUUAAGGGAAAUUAUAUAUACAUUUAUUAGACUUUACUUUUAGAAAUGAGAAAACAAAACAAACAACCCUGAAAGACAAAGACCAAAGAACUGUUCCCAGUUUUGAAGGUUAAAAGCAGUGUGUGAGGUGGUGUGCCUCCAUAGUCCCAGCAUUUGGGAGAUGGAGGCAGGAGAAUCAGGAGUUCAAGGCCAGCCUGAGUAAUAGUAAGUUUGAAUCGGCCCAGGCUCGAAAUGAGGCCCCACCUCGAACAGAUAAGCAAAUAAUAAGGCACAGACAAAUAGAUGCUACAGUAUCAAGGAUAGAAUGCAGUAUGGGUCCUGAUGGAUUCUGCCCAUUUUAGGGCCCGGACAUGAUAUCUGACAAAAUUGGAGUGUACGUUCAAGAUAAUACAAAGAAAUGUAUUGAUGCUUAAAUAUCUUACUGUGAUCAGCUUUUUUUUUUUUUUUAAUUUAUUCAUUUUAUAUAUGUGAGUACACUGUCACUGUCUUUGAACACACCAGAAGAGGGCAUCAGAUCCCAUUACAGAUGGUUGUGAGCCACCAUGUGGUUGCUGGGAAUUGAAUUCAGAAUCUCUGCAAGAGCAGUCGAUGCUCUUAAUUGCUGAGUCAUCUCUCCAGCCCUAUGACCAGCAUUAUAUUUAGGUUACCACAAGAAUAUAUUCUUGUUCUGGGAGAUACAUGUUUAAACCCUUUAAGGAUCCAUGUCACUAUCACGUGGUUCAAAAGC